GUGGAUUAGAUACCCUGGUAGUCCACGCCCUAAACGAUGUCAACUAGUUGUCGGGAGGGUAACCCUCUUGGUAACGCAGCUAACGCGUGAAGUUGACCGCCUGGGGAGUACGGUCGCAAGAUUAAAACUCAAAGGAAUUGACGGGGGCCCGCACAAGCGGUGGAUUAUGUGGAUUAAUUCGAUGCAACGCGAAAAACCUUACCUACCCUUGACAUGCCAGGAACUUGCCAGAGAUGGCUUGGUGCUCGAAAGAGAACCUGGACACAGGUGCUGCACGGCCGUCGCCAACU
This 290-nucleotide ribosomal RNA is filed under the name uncultured bacterium. Its description in RNAcentral is "partial 16S ribosomal RNA". It matches the Rfam family "Bacterial small subunit ribosomal RNA", at positions 773 to 1060 of the family's 1533-position model. The record is from RNAcentral.